RNAcentral lists this RNase P RNA (354 nucleotides) under Sphingobacteriales bacterium. Its description in RNAcentral is "RNase P RNA component class A". It matches the Rfam family "Bacterial RNase P class A". Rfam says of the family: Ribonuclease P (RNase P) is a ubiquitous endoribonuclease, found in archaea, bacteria and eukarya as well as chloroplasts and mitochondria. Lineage: Bacteria; Pseudomonadati; Bacteroidota; Sphingobacteriia; Sphingobacteriales. The record is from RNAcentral.
GCUGCAAACUAAGCUAUCGUCUUCCCGCUUUGCAGGAGGAAGGAAAGUCCGGACAGCACAGAGCAGCCCACCGGUGAAGAGCCGGGUCACACCGCAGGUGUGAACAGAUAGUGCCACAGAAAAUAACUUUUCAGUCGAAAGACUGGAUAAAGGUGAAAAUGUGAGGUAAGAGCUCACAACGAUUCAUGGUAACAUGCUUCGUGGGUAAACCUUGGGUGCUGAAAUGCCACGUAUAGUAACGUUUGAGAAUAGCUCGUUCGAGUUACAGGGUAGGCAGAAACAGGUGAACAGUAAUGUUCAUCGCAGAUAAAUGAUAGCUCCCGACAGAAUCCGGCUUACAGGUUUGCAGCUUUU